RNA transcript from Triticum aestivum (bread wheat), 1490 nucleotides. RefSeq lists it as uncharacterized. The record is from RefSeq and is a predicted model, not a curated record. NCBI's taxonomy places the organism in Eukaryota, Viridiplantae, Streptophyta, Magnoliopsida, Poales, Poaceae. The transcript is spliced from 4 exons.
UCGGGAGGGAGCAUGCAAGCCGGAUUCGGCCUCGCCCAGCCGCCACGGAGGCUGCUUCAAUCUCUAGUUACGCCUCGCUCCACAUGCCCUUCCUUCCUUCCCUCCUCAAUGCCUACCUUCACUGGUGCGUUCUUGGCUGUGCCAGAGUGGACACUUCAGCACUGGCUCCACGACUAUGUUGAGGACAUCAAAUUGAUGGAUCGAGGGGGCAGGAGGUGGAGGACGGCACGCGGCGGCGGGGAUGGAUGUGCCGGCGAUGGGGACGCUAUUGGGGAUCCGGCGCCAACAGGUCGCGUCGCGGCUCGACGUUCCCGACGGCAGACAGGUCGCCCGCGCCCCCGUCAGGCUCCAAGACCGCCACAACGGCGAAAUGGCCCCGCCUCUGUCGACUGGUGUAGUUUGGACAGGAGCAAGUGCGCCAAUUAAUUCUGAUGCGGUGAGAUGCACAGGGAGGCUUGCAUUGGCAAGGCUAGCAGGAGGCCGUUCUCAGGAGGUCUGCGCGACGACGGCGGUAGGGUGAAUUGAGUUCAGAUCUUUGAACAAAUGAUUGUGAUUUUGUAGCUACAGGGUGCUAUUCUUUAUUAUUACUUGGUGCCAGAACCUGAACGCAUGGGUGGCGGCGCCGCUGCUAUACGAAACAUCAUGCGCAUACGAGCCAAAGGGGCUGUCCAAGACGCCAUCAGGGGACGUCAUGCGACCCUUCUCGUUGCAAGGGUGGAAUAGGGAGGCGACAUCGAUCUGGUGGUGUGGGAAAGAUGCGGUUGGACGGGAUUGGCGGCAUCGGUCUGGUGGUGUGGAGAGGAGAGGCCCUUCCAGGCCUGGCCGACACUGCUCUUGUCCCCGGCAGAGCGGGAGAUGAGUAGGCCGCCACCGAUCCCGUUUCCGGCCUCUUUCGAUUUGCCCUCGCACAGCCGACCGCGUCUCGUCCUCGGUGGCACCACGGAGACUGAACGCAGGACAAUCAUGAAGACGAAGACGUGGAAAAAGGGGGAGCGGGAUUAGCGUGGCGGCUCCUCUCGGAUAUCGAUGCCGGCUCCUCGAUAGCCUCUCGGCGGCGGAGCAGGAGGCGGGGCGGCGGCAGAGUGGGAGAAAGAGGGAAAGAGAGAGGUCGCAGCGGGAGGGGGUGGAUCGAGAGGAGGGGUCGCAGCGGGAGGGAGAGAGAGAGGGAGCGAUCGUUGGGUUUUUUUGGCACCGAUUUGUUUCGCAGAAGGAUAGUGAGUUAACGGAGGUGGGAGGAUAACGAAAAUAAAACGGAGGUGAGAGAAUGACGAAAAUAAACCAGUAAAAAUAAACCGCGUGGACUAUUCAUCAAGUCGUCAAUUAGGAGUAGAGACUAUCGUGGGAAUUUUUAUUUGCGUCUUUCCUUGACGCUCAUGGACUCAUGGUAAGAGAUGCAGGUGUAAUCUUUAGCGCCACUUCGAAAUUGAAGUUGGUGUGACACCAAGCAAUAAAGCGGAGCCUUCAUCAUGCAGCUAAGAGUAACUUCAUUU